GUGAACCAAAGAGGUGCAAGAGCGUAGUUAGAGUGUUGAAGAUCGUGAACAGGUCAUUGAAAACACUUAGAGGACGAACUUGCCGAAACGGCCAGACAAUGUUCACAGCACGGCCGUUGGGGUUUAGGGUGGAAGCCUUAAACACUGUCAUCUUAACGGAUUUAUAGGAUGGAGCACUUUGGGGACG
This 187-nucleotide non-coding RNA is filed under the name Bacteriovorax sp. Seq25_V. RNAcentral describes it as "Lysine riboswitch aptamer". It matches the Rfam family "Lysine riboswitch aptamer". From Rfam's summary of the family: Riboswitches are metabolite binding domains within certain messenger RNAs that serve as precision sensors for their corresponding targets. RNAcentral also lists the same sequence under 1 other name. Lineage: Bacteria; Pseudomonadati; Bdellovibrionota; Bacteriovoracia; Bacteriovoracales; Bacteriovoracaceae. The record is from Rfam by way of RNAcentral.